GUGUUCUUGCUUCAGCAGCACAUAUACUAAAAUUGUAAAUGAUAGAUUUGCGUGGCCCCUACGCAAGGAUGACACACAAAUUCAUGAAGCUUUCCAUAUUUUU
Small nuclear RNA from Sorex fumeus (smoky shrew), 103 nucleotides. NCBI's taxonomy places the organism in Eukaryota, Metazoa, Chordata, Mammalia, Eulipotyphla, Soricidae. The record is from RefSeq and is a predicted model, not a curated record.